GACCUUCGGGCCUCUUGCCAUCAGAUGUGCCCAGAUGGGAUUAGCUUGUUGGUGAGGUAACGGCUCACCAAGGCGACGAUCCCUAGCUGGUCUGAGAGGAUGACCAGCCACACUGGAACUGAGACACGGUCCAGACUCCUACGGGAGGCAGCAGUGGGGAAUAUUGCACAAUGGGCGCAAGCCUGAUGCAGCCAUGCCGCGUGUAUGAAGAAGGCCUUCGGGUUGUAAAGUACUUUCAGCGGGGAGGAAGGUGUUGCGGUUAAUAACCGCAGCAAUUGACGUUACCCGCAGAAGAAGCACCGGCUAACUCCGUGCCAGCAGCCGCGGUAAUACGGAGGGUGCAAGCGUUAAUCGGAAUUACUGGGCGUAAAGCGCACGCAGGCGGUCUGUCAAGUCGGAUGUGAAAUCCCCGGGCUCAACCUGGGAACUGCAUUCGAAACUGGCAGGCUUGAGUCUUGUAGAGGGGGGUAGAAUUCCAGGUGUAGCGGUGAAAUGCGUAGAGAUCUGGAGGAAUACCGGUGGCGAAGGCGGCCCCCUGGACAAAGACUGACGCUCAGGUGCGAAAGCGUGGGGAGCAAACAGGAUUAGAUACCCUGGUAGUCCACGCCGUAAACGAUGUCUACUUGGAGGUUGUGCCCUUGAGGCGUGGCUUCCGGAGCUAACGCGUUAAGUAGACCGCCUGGGGAGUACGGCCGCAAGGUUAAAACUCAAAUGAAUUGACGGGGGCCCGCACAAGCGGUGGAGCAUGUGGUUUAAUUCGAUGCAACGCGAAGAACCUUACCUGGUCUUGACAUCCACAGAAGAAUCCAGAGAUGGAUUGGUGCCUUCGGGAACUGUGAGACAGGUGCUGCAUGGCUGUCGUCAGCUCGUGUUGUGAAAUGUUGGGUUAAGUCCCGCAACGAGCGCAAC
This 909-nucleotide ribosomal RNA is filed under the name Salmonella enterica subsp. enterica serovar Typhimurium. Its description in RNAcentral is "bacterial SSU rRNA". It matches the Rfam family "Bacterial small subunit ribosomal RNA", at positions 208 to 1102 of the family's 1533-position model. Lineage: Bacteria; Pseudomonadati; Pseudomonadota; Gammaproteobacteria; Enterobacterales; Enterobacteriaceae. The record is from RNAcentral.